AUUGAACGCUGGCGGCAGGCUUAACACAUGCAAGUCGAGCGGGGUGAUGGUGCUUGCACUAUCACUUAGCGGCGGACGGGUGAGUAAUGCUUAGGAAUCUGCCUAUUAGUGGGGGACAACAUCUCGAAAGGGAUGCUAAUACCGCAUACGUCCUACGGGAGAAAGCAGGGGAUCACUUGUGACCUCGCGCUAAUAGAUGAGCCUAAGUCGGAUUAGCUAGUUGGGGGGGUAAAGGCCUACCAAGGCGACGAUCUGUAGCGGGUCUGAGAGGAUGAUCCGCCACACUGGGACUGAGACACGGCCCAGACUCCUACGGGAGGCAGCAGUGGGGAAUAUUGGACAAUGGGGGGAACCCUGAUCCAGCCAUGCCGCGUGUGUGAAGAAGGCCUUAUGGUUGUAAAGCACUUUAAGCGAGGAGGAGGCUCUUUUGGUUAAUACCCAAGAUGAGUGGACGUUACUCGCAGAAUAAGCACCGGCUAACUCUGUGCCAGCAGCCGCCGUAA
RNAcentral lists this ribosomal RNA (503 nucleotides) under uncultured bacterium. RNAcentral describes it as "partial 16S ribosomal RNA". It matches the Rfam family "Bacterial small subunit ribosomal RNA", at positions 30 to 523 of the family's 1533-position model. The record is from RNAcentral.